This is a long non-coding RNA of Xenopus tropicalis (tropical clawed frog), 1135 nucleotides long. RefSeq lists it as uncharacterized. The transcript is spliced from 3 exons. The record is from RefSeq and is a predicted model, not a curated record. NCBI's taxonomy places the organism in Eukaryota, Metazoa, Chordata, Amphibia, Anura, Pipidae.
UUUCCCCAUGCCCAGGGCCGGAUUUGGGCCAUGCCAAUGUUAAACCAGAGGGGACUUCGAAUUUUCUAUAAUCUUUCUGUUCUAGAUGAGUUUUACAGCACUCCACCUCUGAAUAACCAUCUGCGAGGGGAAUUCACCAAAGUGCAGUAAACUGAAAUUGGAGAGAAAUAUCAGUGGAGUUACUGUAGAACUGGUACAUGAUUAAAAGAGACUUAGAGCCACUAUAAGGACAGCUUAUGGGAUUUGAAGCUUAAACAUUUGGUUUGCAAGACAAGUCUUAUACCUCUACAAAGGAGGAAAGAUAUCAGCCCUGAAACAUAUUAUGGAUAACUCAACCUCACUUUUUUUGGCUAUUCUUUGGUAUUCUUACCUCAUAGUAGGUAAUGAUUCUGUUUCUGGCAAGGAAGAUAAAGAUGGAGUCUGAGAACCAAGGCUUGCCUGGCUGUUUCUCUUUGUAGUUUUAAACGAUCCACAGGCAAAUUCAUCAUCAUCGGAGUUGUCCUCUGAGGAGCCCAGGAUGAAUUUAGACAAUGGCUGCUUCCUUGGCUUUGGAUUUACAGGUUCUGUACCUCUUGAGGGUGCAAAUUUCAGCUGCUUCUGCUCUGGUUUGGAGAGAGAUGCUGCACGUGGUGGUAAAGUGCCAGAAUUGACUCCUGAGUUUGUGUCUUGUAUUUGACCUGAGGUAGUUCCUUCUGCUUGGGUCCUGAGAAGAUUGUCAUCUGACUCAGCUGGAGUUUCAGCUUCUGCUAUUGGUGGUUUUGGCAACUGCUCUUUGUCACCUUCCAUGAUGCUUUCAACAAAUUCAAACAGUACUUUCCGCCUCUUAGAACGUGAUUGUAGAGGCCUCUGCACAUGUUUCCAAAUUAGCCAAAGUAAAAAAAUGAAAGACAAGAUCUCCAGCACCAUCUGAAAAACUGCAGUUAAAAACAAUAGAGCAUUAAUAUCUGAAUCACAGUGAAACCUGAAUUUUACUUAGCCUGAGUUUGUGUUCCUGCAUUUUACACUGUUUUUUGUGGUCCAGCCAACAUAUAAGGCAUAAUUCAUUUUCCUGAUUUUACAUUUUCCUUAAUUUUAUAUGAUUUCCCUGAAAAAUGUAAAAUAGAGGUUGUACUGUAUGAUAAAAUAUUUAACCAUU